Molecule: ribosomal RNA, 347 nt
Filed under: uncultured bacterium
Lineage: Bacteria
Description: partial 16S ribosomal RNA
Rfam family: Bacterial small subunit ribosomal RNA
Source: RNAcentral
CCUACGGGAGGCAGCAGUGAGGAAUAGUGGUCAAUGGGCGGAAGCCUGAACCAGCCAAGUAGCGUGCAGGAUGACGGCCCUACGGGUUGUAAACUGCUUUUAUACGGGAAUAACGCGCCUUACGUGUAGGGCGUUGCAUGUACCGUAUGAAUAAGGACCGGCUAAUUCCGUGCCAGCGGCCGCGGUAAUACGGAAGGUCCGGGCGUUAUCCGGAUUUAUUGGGUUUAAAGGGAGCGUAGGCCGCAUGUCAAGCGUGCUGUGAAAUGUCCGGGCUCACCCCGGGCCUUGCAGCGCGAACUGGCGUGCUUGUGUCCGCGUGAAGCAGGCGGCAUUCGUCUUGUAGCGGU